RNAcentral lists this unclassified non-coding RNA (464 nucleotides) under Hevea brasiliensis (rubber tree). The record is from RNAcentral. Lineage: Eukaryota; Viridiplantae; Streptophyta; Magnoliopsida; Malpighiales; Euphorbiaceae.
AAUCAAGCUUUCCCUUCACAAAUCUUCUCUCUUUUCAUAUUCUUACAUGGUAUCAGAGCCUAGGAUUCUUAGUCCCAGCUCUGCUUUCAUCUUCUUCUGAUCUAAAAAAAAAGACCCAUAUCUGGUCUGUGAAAGCAAUACCUGAAACUUCAAGAUCAAGCUUUCUCACCUCCAUAUGUUGGUUGUUAAGUCUCACCUCCCAUCCCGGGAAGUACAACAGCUGUCCGCAACUGCCUUGCCAAAACCAUGCCAUCAGAAGCAGCGCUUGUGAAGUACACAUGCCUUUUCAAAGUUCCUGCCCUUCUUCCAUGCGCCAAUGUGUGGAGCCUUUUCCGGUCACUGCCUCAUACCGGAUCUCCUCCUAGUGACGUCGCCCAAGUUUGGUGACCCCUCUUGGCUUGUCACCUGCAACAGAAUCCCAAAAGGAGAACAUCCUCUCGUAUUCCAGUUAGCUAGUUCGUUGU